CACACUGUAAACGAUGUACACUAGGUGCUGGUACGGAUGUAUCAGUGCCGUAGCUAACGUGAUAAGUGUACCGCCUGGGGAGUAUGCUCGCAAGGGUGAAACUCAAAGGAAUUGACGGGGGCCCGCACAAGCGGUGGAGCAUGUGGUUUAAUUCGAUGGUACGCGAGGAACCUUACCUGGGUUUGACAUACAGCGUGAUGGAGCAGAGAUGCUUCAGCGUAGCAAUACGACGCUGUACAGGUGC
RNAcentral lists this ribosomal RNA (244 nucleotides) under uncultured Spirochaetaceae bacterium. RNAcentral's name for it is "partial 16S ribosomal RNA". It matches the Rfam family "Bacterial small subunit ribosomal RNA", at positions 796 to 1041 of the family's 1533-position model. The record is from RNAcentral. Lineage: Bacteria; Pseudomonadati; Spirochaetota; Spirochaetia; Spirochaetales; Spirochaetaceae.